AAAAGAAUCAUAUAAAGGUUUAAGAUACACCCUCUAUAGCUAGAUACCCAGUGUAUUCCCAGAUAGCAAAUCAUGCCAUACGACACCGGUAGAUGUAAAUGAUAUGUAACUGGAUUGAUUUGUGUAGAAAUAAAAAAUGGUCCCAACCUUAGAUAGUCCAACUUGUCACAAGAACAAGUGGUCUUAAUAUUGCGACGAAGUAGCCAUACCUUAUCAUCGAAGUAGAAUGGUGGUUAUUCCUUUUAAUAGACAUCUGCAUUGAACUUUUGCUAUUCUUGAGCCUCUAUUAACUGGGCUUUCGUCGUUGCAUGUAGCUUUGACAAAUGAAUCACCAAAUCUUUUGCAGUAGGAUUAUCAACUUUUGAAAAGUCAAA
This 374-nucleotide long non-coding RNA is filed under the name Physcomitrium patens. Its description in RNAcentral is "long non-coding RNA (PPAT_LNC000851)". The record is from RNAcentral. Lineage: Eukaryota; Viridiplantae; Streptophyta; Bryopsida; Funariales; Funariaceae.